CCUAACUGGACUGAUCAGUGGCUUCACUCUGCUGGGGCUGCUGAUCCUUGGAAUCCUCUUCUGCUGCAAACGCAGAAAAUAAGCAAAAUCCAGUUACCAGGAGGAAAUGAGAUUCCUGAUGUUGUCAACAGUAACCAGGCAGCAAAUGGCCAUGCCAAUGCAUACAACACCCUGGGUGGAACUGGUGUCAGGAAACACAGACAUGUUACUUUUGUGUGAAGGAAUUGUACAAUCUGACUCACAUACAGCAGAAUCAAGCUGUAAAAUAUGUAUAAUGUUCUCCAAAUCUUUCAAUGUUGCCCUUCAUCUUGUCAUUUUGGAAACGUACCCAAUUUUUGAAACAAAGUGGUGCCUCUAUUUUGGAAAUAAGCCGCGGAGGGUUUGCUUGUAAGGGAACCCACCAGACAAAGUAAUGUCAAAACACAUCUAUAUUAGUCCAGCGGAUAAGAACCAAAUAUACCCGAGAUACUUCCACUUUAUGAUAAAAGUAUCAAACUUGGUACAUUAAUACUACAUACCUUAAGGAACAUUUUAAAGAUUGGAGGCAGUCUGGGAAGCAUGUCAGUCAACCAGCUGCAUUUUAUUAAAAUGGCUGCCAUUCAGAUUUCCUGUAGGACAAAAAGUAGGGUAAAAUCGUUCCAAACAAUAUCAAAAUGACUUUGUAAUGUUAUCUACCCACUAAAUAAACCCCACAGAUAAUAUAGACAAUAAUUCUGAUGAUAAAAUAUUCUUAAGACAUUCAUGGGGGUCAUAUUGAGGUUAUUUUGAGCAUAAUCCAGUGCCUACGGGAAAAAUGGUGGACUUUGUGAUAGAGCUACAAAAUGUCACACACAGCAGGGGCAUGCCUAUAGUGCCAUCACAGAUUUGGUCCAUUACCCCCCUGGAAGCCAUUUCCAAUAUGGCCACCAACCAGCUGCAUGGGGCCAUAUUGGACUAGAUUCACGUGGCCAAAUUUUGUAAAUUUGAAUCUUAAAAUGUUGUCUGAAAAAUCCUUUAAACUUUUAGCAGAAAAGUGGUGAAAACGUCCCAAAUAUCUGUUUUUUUGUAAUGUUUUCAUGGCUAGUUCCAAUAGUUUACAAGUAAACACUCUAAAAAGAAAUAUGGGUGUUCCCUGAAGUCUACUGAUUGCAAUGAUACAGUGAGCGCCAAAAGUAUUGGGACAGUGACAAUUUUGUUGUUGUUUUGAAAUUAUACAAUGACUAUGAAAUUAAAGUGCAGACUAUCUGCUUUGAUUUGGGGGUAUUUUCAUCCAUAUCGGGUAAACCGUUUAGAA
This is a long non-coding RNA of Coregonus clupeaformis (lake whitefish), 1273 nucleotides long. RefSeq lists it as uncharacterized. The record is from RefSeq and is a predicted model, not a curated record. The transcript has 3 exons. Lineage: Eukaryota; Metazoa; Chordata; Actinopteri; Salmoniformes; Salmonidae.